CCUGUGUUGCUUACCCCGUAAAGGAAUUCGAUGGUUUUGGUGUCCCCAUCCGCCUUGCGCCCCUUCGGGGUGCGGGGUGGACGUGGGGCGGGCUCCGUGUUCCCCGUGUGUCGAGCGUGUUGACGCUCGGCCGCUGUGGCCCAUGGGGUCUCGCCCGUGCUCUCGGAUGCGGAAUGCUGUGUGUGGGCGUGGGGUCUCGGCCUCUGCUCGUCCGAGCUGCACGCAUUGUCCCUUGACAUGAACGACUGUCGCGUCCGUCUUGAUCGGCCGACCGUGCCCCCGUCGCGGGGCUCCGGGAGGGCGUCUCAUGCGGGCGUCGGCGUCGGAGAGGAAUGC
Molecule: unclassified non-coding RNA, 336 nt
Filed under: Zanthoxylum oxyphyllum
Lineage: Eukaryota; Viridiplantae; Streptophyta; Magnoliopsida; Sapindales; Rutaceae
Description: partial external transcribed spacer
Source: RNAcentral